AAAGGGAGACCUAAUUCAGGUAGGAGACGAAAAAAAGUAGUCCCUACCAAGAAUCAAUCCCAAAAGGUCGGAGCGAGGCGAAAUUGGCUUUCAAACUAGGUUCUGGGUUCAUAAAAGACCUGAAUCAGGAACAAGGGCUAUUAGCUCAGGUGGUUAGAGCGCACCCCUGAUAAGGGUGAGGUCCCUGGUUCGAGUCCAGGAUGGCCCACCUGCACAGGUGGCAAAAACAAGAGAAGCGAGGAAUCAGCACCUUAUCCUAAUUUAUAUAUAGGAGAGAAUGCUGGCUCUGAGUAAAGAGUCCAGAGGAACCUUGAAAACUGCAUAGAGCUAGGUGAAAAAGCCAAAAAAGAAGACCGCAAG
RNAcentral lists this transfer RNA (360 nucleotides) under uncultured Microcystis sp. RNAcentral describes it as "partial 16S-23S ribosomal RNA intergenic spacer". The stretch from base 135 to 208 matches the Rfam family "tRNA". The record is from RNAcentral. Lineage: Bacteria; Bacillati; Cyanobacteriota; Cyanophyceae; Chroococcales; Microcystaceae.